RNAcentral lists this ribosomal RNA (376 nucleotides) under uncultured bacterium. Its description in RNAcentral is "bacterial SSU rRNA". It matches the Rfam family "Bacterial small subunit ribosomal RNA", at positions 521 to 896 of the family's 1533-position model. The record is from RNAcentral.
UAAGACGAACCGUGCGAACGUUGUUCGGAAUCACUGGGCUUAAAGGGCGCGUAGGCGGGUGAUCAAGUCAGGGGUGAAAUCCUUCCGCUCAACGGGAGAACAGCUUCUGAUACUGGUCAUCUUGAGGGGGGUAGGGGCAUGUGGAACUUCCGGUGGAGCGGUGAAAUGCGUAGAUAUCGGAAGGAACGCCGGUGGCGAAAGCGACGUGCUGGACCCUUUCUGACGCUGAGGCGCGAAAGCCAGGGGAGCAAACGGGAUUAGAUACCCCGGUAGUCCUGGCCCUAAACGAUGGGUACUAGAUUGUGGACUAAACAUGGGUUCACAGUCGAAGCAAAAGUGUUAAGUACCCCGCCUGGGGAGUAUGGUCGCAAGGCUG